GAGAGUUUGAUCCUGGCUCAGAUUGAACGCUAGCGGGAUGCUUUACACAUGCAAGUCGAACGGCAGCGCGAGAGAGCUUGCUCUCUUGGCGGCGAGUGGCGGACGGGUGAGUAAUAUAUCGGAACGUGCCCAGUAGCGGGGGAUAACUACUCGAAAGAGUGGCUAAUACCGCAUACGCCCUACGGGGGAAAGGGGGGGAUCGCAAGACCUCUCACUAUUGGAGCGGCCGAUAUCGGAUUAGCUAGUUGGUGGGGUAAAGGCUCACCAAGGCAACGAUCCGUAGCUGGUUUGAGAGGACGACCAGCCACACUGGGACUGAGACACGGCCCAGACUCCUACGGGAGGCAGCAGUGGGGAAUUUUGGACAAUGGGGGAAACCCUGAUCCAGCCAUCCCGCGUGUAUGAUGAAGGCCUUCGGGUUGUAAAGUACUUUUGGCAGAGAAGAAAAGGUAUCCCCUAAUACGGGAUACUGCUGACGGUAUCUGCAGAAUAAGCACCGGCUAACUACGUGCCAGCAGCCGCGGUAAUACGUAGGGUGCAAGCGUUAAUCGGAAUUACUGGGCGUAAAGCGUGUGUAGGCGGUUCGGAAAGAAAGAUGUGAAAUCCCAGGGCUCAACCUUGGAACUGCAUUUUUAACUGCCGAGCUAGAGUAUGUCAGAGGGGGGUAGAAUUCCACGUGUAGCAGUGAAAUGCGUAGAUAUGUGGAGGAAUACCGAUGGCGAAGGCAGCCCCCUGGGAUAAUACUGACGCUCAGACACGAAAGCGUGGGGAGCAAACAGGAUUAGAUACCCUGGUAGUCCACGCCCUAAACGAUGUCAACUAGCUGUUGGGGCCGUUAGGCCUUAGUAGCGCAGCUAACGCGUGAAGUUGACCGCCUGGGGAGUACGGUCGCAAGAUUAAAACUCAAAGGAAUUGACGGGGACCCGCACAAGCGGUGGAUGAUGUGGAUUAAUUCGAUGCAACGCGAAAACCUUACCUACCCUUGACAUGUCUGGAAAGCCGAAGAGAUUUGGCCGUGCUCGCAAGAGAACCGGAACACAGGUGCUGCAUGGCUGUCGUCAGCUCGUGUCGUGAGAUGUUGGGUUAAGUCCCGCAACGAGCGCAACCCUUGUCAUUAGUUGCUACGCAAGAGCACUCUAAUGAGACUGCCGGUGACAAACCGGAGGAAGGUGGGGAUGACGUCAAGUCCUCAUGGCCCUUAUGGGUAGGGCUUCACACGUCAUACAGUGGUCGGGACAGAGGGUCGCCAACCCGCGAGGGGGAGCCAAUCUCAGAAACCCGAUCGUAGUCCGGAUCGCAGUCUGCAACUCGACUGCGUGAAGUCGGAAUCGCUAGUAAUCGCGGAUCAGAAUGUCGCGGUGAAUACGUUCCCGGGUCUUGUACACACCGCCCGUCACACCAUGGGAGUGGGUUUCACCAGAAGUAGGUAGCCUAACCGCAAGGAGGGCGCUUACCACGGUGGGAUUCAUGACUGGGGUGAAGUCGUAACAAGGUAGCCGUA
This 1501-nucleotide ribosomal RNA is filed under the name Alcaligenes sp. IS-18. Its description in RNAcentral is "16S ribosomal RNA". It matches the Rfam family "Bacterial small subunit ribosomal RNA". The record is from RNAcentral. Lineage: Bacteria; Pseudomonadati; Pseudomonadota; Betaproteobacteria; Burkholderiales; Alcaligenaceae.